This 492-nucleotide ribosomal RNA is filed under the name uncultured bacterium. RNAcentral describes it as "partial 16S ribosomal RNA". It matches the Rfam family "Bacterial small subunit ribosomal RNA", at positions 29 to 507 of the family's 1533-position model. The record is from RNAcentral.
AGUGAACGCUGGCGGUAGGCCUAACACAUGCAAGUCGAACGGCAGCACAGUAAGAGCUUGCUCUUACGGGUGGCGAGUGGCGGACGGGUGAGGAAUACAUCGGAAUCUACUUUUUCGUGGGGGAUAACGUAGGGAAACUUACGCUAAUACCGCAUACGACCUACGGGUGAAAGCAGGGGAUCUUCGGACCUUGCGCGAUUGAAUGAGCCGAUGUCGGAUUAGCUAGUUGGCGGGGUAAAGGCCCACCAAGGCGACGAUCCGUAGCUGGUCUGAGAGGAUGAUCAGCCACACUGGAACUGAGACACGGUCCAGACUCCUACGGGAGGCAGCAGUGUGGAAUAUUGGACAAUGGGCGCAAGCCUGAUCCAGCCAUACCGCGUGGGUGAAGAAGGCCUUCGGGUUGUAAAGCCCUUUUGUUGGGAAAGAAAAGCAGCAGGUUAAUACCCCGCUGUUCUGACGGUACCCUAAGAAUAAGCACCGGCUAACUUCGUG